Non-coding RNA from Caenorhabditis elegans, 157 nucleotides. The record is from Ensembl. Lineage: Eukaryota; Metazoa; Nematoda; Chromadorea; Rhabditida; Rhabditidae.
ACUGAAUGACCUAGCAACUGUCACCAAGUGACAAAUAGUGCCACGUCUUUCUUUCGGCAUCUUCAAAGAGUUGCCUUCCGGAAGGAGAAGAAGAAGGUAGUCAAUCAAUUUUGGAUUCCAAAUACAUGACACAUAUAUAAUAAUGAAGUGUGGUACU